Molecule: transfer RNA, 75 nt
Filed under: Thermoproteus uzoniensis 768-20
Lineage: Archaea; Thermoproteati; Thermoproteota; Thermoprotei; Thermoproteales; Thermoproteaceae
Description: tRNA-Met (CAT) (tRNA-Met-CAT-2-1)
Rfam family: tRNA
About the family: Transfer RNA (tRNA) molecules are approximately 80 nucleotides in length. Their secondary structure includes four short double-helical elements and three loops (D, anti-codon, and T loops). Further hydrogen bonds mediate the characteristic L-shaped molecular structure. tRNAs have two regions of fundamental functional importance: the anti-codon, which is responsible for specific mRNA codon recognition, and the 3' end, to which the tRNAs corresponding amino acid is attached (by aminoacyl-tRNA synthetases). tRNAs cope with the degeneracy of the genetic code in two manners: having more than one tRNA (with a specific anti-codon) for a particular amino acid; and 'wobble' base-pairing, i.e. permitting non-standard base-pairing at the 3rd anti-codon position.
Source: RNAcentral
GCGGGGGUAGCUCAGCCUGGUUGGAGCGCCCGGCUCAUAACCGGGAGGACCCGGGUUCGAAUCCCGGCCCCCGCA